CUAUGCUCUCUCGUGCACGCGGAGCUCGGUGCCGGUGGGACAGACUGAGGACACCCGGGGACUCGAGCUCAUCUUCGGCCACUGUUCCGCUCAAGUCGUCGCAGAGCUCCGGGAAGAUGUCUGUGAGGAGUCCGCACCGGGAAACCAGCAGCUAGCGGCCGCUUUCAGAGUGUCGCCCGUCGGAUGUUGAGUUAGAAAGUUUCGCUGCGGGGAUAAGAAGAAGCAGAGGGACCGGUGUCCUCUCACGUCAACAGCCCCGUCUCCCUCCUCCAUCCUCCCGCUGUGACUGUAAGCACGACCCGGGAGGAGCUGGGAGUUUGAUCCGGUUGUUUUUUCACCACUUGUCCUUGUGUGUUGGGACUUUUCUGAGCCAUGUUGUGGAGCAGGUGCCUGGUCCUGCUGCUCUGCUGGGGGGCCAGCGGCGGCGAGCAGCAGGCGGAUGAGAGGGACGGAGCCUCGGCCGAGCUCCGGACGGACUCACGGAGACAGCGGUCCCCUCCGCCGGUGGAGCCCCUGGACUUUGGGUUCGUGCCAGCGGCGGUGUAUGACACCCACGCUUACUACGAGCCGGGGCCCGUAGGGAUCCUCUUCCACAUGGUCCACGCAUUUCUCUACGUGGUUCAGCCGAACUUCUUCCCCAAAGAUAUGAUUGUUAAAAUCAUUCAGCAAAACAUGGGGGGAAUCAAAAUACAGGAAUGGAGAAAGCCAGAUAACGUCGUCCUGUUGCUACAGUGGAUCUACUACGAGGCUGGAUUCCUCAUAUGUUCCACCAUCGGUAUCUUGUUCAUGGUGCUCACCCCGAUCAUCGGCAUGUGUUUCUGUGUGUGUCGAUGCUGCGAGAACUGCGGAGGGGAGAUGCACCAGAGACAGAGGAAGAACGCCGACUGUCAGAGGGGUUUCUACACCGCCUCGCUCCUCGCCUCCUCCAUCUUCAUCAUUUUGGGGGUACUUGUUGCAUAUGCUGCCAACCAUAAUGUCAGCAUGCAGAUCAAGAGCACUCGCCGAUUAAUUAAUACCAACAUCAGGGACCUGAAGACAUUCGCUAACAACACACCUGCGCAAAUUGACUACCUGACAGCUCAGUACACCACAGCAAAGAACAAAGUCCUGUCCGACCUCGACAACAUCGGGCCGCUGUUGGGCGGGAGGAUCCACAGUCAGCUGGAGAAGGAGGUGGUGCCGUCACUGGACAAUGCCCUGCGUAUGGUCGGAGCAAAAGUUGAGGGGGCCAUCAAAGCCAUGCGGGAAACCAAGGAGGCCCUGGAGAACGUCAGCUCCUCCCUGGAGGUGCUUCAGGAGGGGACGGGGAAACUUCAGGCCAGCCUGUCGGGGGAGCGGGCCUCUCUGUCCAACACCCUGUCCGACCCCGCCUGCACUAACGGAGCCGUCUCUCACACCUGCAACACCAUCCGAUCCACGCUGUCCCAGCUGGGGGUCAAUGCAAACUACAUAGGGCUUCCAGAUGUCAAUCACGCUUUGGCCAAUGUCCAAACAGUCCUGAGAACAGAUCUCAGCAACAUUGUACAAAAGGGUUACUCAUCCUUUAACGACACCCCGAGUCUGGUUAAAGAGCAAACUAAAAAUAUUGUCUCAGCUCUUCCUCGAGUGAAGGGGAUGUUGGAUAAGAUCGGCACAGAGAUCAACAACUUCGCCAAGAUGUUCCCAGUGGAAGCGUCUUUGGCCAAUUUCACCACUUUCCUCAGUGAAGGGCAGAACAACAUCGAGGCCUUUUACCCACAGAUCGACCAGUUUGAUUUCUACAGGUGGAUUGGCUGUGUGGCAGCGCUUUGCCUGGUCGUCUUGAUCUUGGCCUUCAACAUCCUCGGACUGUUCUGCGGCACCUGUGGCUACGAUAAGCAGGCCUCACCCACAACCAGAGGAUGCCUAUCAAACACCGGUGGCAACCUGCUAAUGGCUGGGGUGGGCUUCUCUUUCCUCUUUUCCUGGUUGCUGAUGGGCGUCGUGACCACGUUGUUUGUUGUUAGCGGCAACGUGGAGAAGCUGAUCUGUGAACCGCUGGCAAACCGACAACUAUUCCAGAUUAUAGACACACCGUACCUGGUUCAUCCUGCCAAGAGGAACUUCCUUCCUGGGAUGCUGUUUCAGAAUCCAAACAUUGACUUGACUUUGGGAAUCAUGUACAGGGAGUGCUAUGAGAACAACGGUCUGUAUCAGGCUCUGCAGCUGGAGACCAUGUUCAACAUCAACUCCUUCCUCAACAGAACUGUGUACAACAAGGACCUGGCCAAAGUGUUUGAGAAUGUGCAGGUGGACCUGCAGGACAUCGCCCUGCUGGAGCAGGCCGGCAGAGACAACCUCAUCAACUUCGCCAACGCUGGAAUCGGACAGAUCGAUUAUGAGACGUACCUGUCUGAGUUAGCCAAAGGGGUUACUCUCGUGGAUCUCCUCUCCUUCGCUUCUGACCUGGAGGCUCAGGCUGACCAGCUGCCCCGUGGCGCUCUGGAGAACGCGCUGAGAGGACACGCCAGCAGCAUCAGACAGAUUCACAGAGAAGUGGUGGUGCCCAUGGAGCAAGCAAUGAAAUAUGUCCGAGCGCGGAGCACGCUGAGCCAGAGCAUCAAACAGCUGCAGAGGACGUCCAACGACCUGCCGGUGAAGGUCAACAACAUCCUGAGUGCCAUUGAUGCAGCAGAGUACCUCAUCACUCACAACGCCUCCCAUGUGGUGAAGCAGGAAGCAAAGGGCUACAUGCAGAGCUUAGUGGGAUACUUCAAACAGUACACAGAAUGGGUCAAAAACUCUUUAACUGCAGAGGUGGCUCAGUGUAAACCCAUCAGUAACAUUGUUGACAGCAUCGAGAUCGUUGGGUGCAGCUUCGUAGUCGAUUCAGUGAACACGUUCUGGUUCGGUCUGGGAGGCGCCUGCAUCUUCAUGAUCCCCAGUAUCAUCUUCUCCAUCAAACUGUCCAAGUAUUACAGAAGGAUGGACACAGAAGACGUCUUUGAAGAUAGCUCCCCCUAUAACGACACUCUGUUCCCUCGGGCCUCUGCCCCCCCGAGCUACUCCGACUGGUGACCCACAGGAACGUUCUCCCUUUUGAAAGAGUGGACAAGAGAGCUGGAACUGAGCUUCCCCUUGUGGAUCACCGGAAUUUCCAGCUUUUCUUUGAUCAUGUAACACUUCCAGUGACAAAAGGGAAGAAUGAGACCAAUCAAAGAACUGUGUGGUGAGGACGUCCCACCCCCCCAUCAACCCUUCAAGCCAUUUGACAAGGACCUCUAACACCAGCCAACUGUAAUUUAUCUCCUACACACCAGCGUCAGUCCCACAAGCACAACAACAGUCCUGCCAGUGUUUCAUACUUAAUCAAACGUCAGAAUUUUUUUUCUGAGUAGUUAGUUUGACAGAUAGAGAAUGAAUUUGUUCUUACAUUGUUACAGUUUUAACUUGGUGACACAUGUACAUUUUUUACACUUUCAAAACUUUUGAAAGUUUUAUAUAUUUUUGGUAAUGUUUGUUUUAUAAAAUGUAAGUAGCUUUUUUUUGUAGGAGUAGCUCCAUUUUCUUUUCUUUUUCUUUUCUCUGCUUGGUGAAUGUUUGUAACGCAGCUUGCAUCGUUUCGCCUCUCCAGGUUUACACUGACCAGAUUGAUUCUCAAGGAAUUUUACAUUUUGAUAAAGACACGUCUUCACAUUUUUGCCAAAUGUUUGAUGAGAAAACACCACUCCUAGAUAUCUAUGUUGAAUACCAGCUGCCAAUUAGCUUAGCUUAGCAUGUGCGCAAAGAGUCUAUGGUCAUGCUAGCGGUCGGGCUUUAAGCUAAUGUAAAUGCUAACAAGCUCACAGCUGCUAUGUUUACCGUGUUCACCAUCUUUGUUUUACCUGUUAGCAUGCUAACAUUUGCUAAUUAGCACUAAGCAGAGUCAGUUGGAGUUAAACCAAAGUACUUGACUAAUAUUAUUUUGACCUGAUGAUGGUGCAAGAUGAAAAGUUACGUAACCAAAGCAGCAUGAAUGUUAUCUAUCCAAGAGUUAUCGAUAUAUUUUAGUCUGGACCAAAGUGGUGAGCUAACAGUCUAACGUAACAGUUAACGUGACUAAAGCGUCAAUUUGGAUCAACAGGGUUUGUUUUUGUACGUAUUAAAGAAACGAGGGAAAGUGUUAAUUUGGUCGAUUUUGUUACCACGUUCGCGGGGGGGCCAGGUCAACUCCUCUGCCCCCGGUCUUUAUGCUUCGCUAGGCUAACCGUCUGUAGCUUGAUAUUUGGCUCCAAACUGUACAUGAAAGUAAUAUUGAUCCUCUUAGCUAACUCUUGGCAUUGAAGCGACAAAGGUUAUUUCUUCGGUGGCCGAGAGACGCACUGCAAAUGAAGCAAAAAAAGAACUCAUGCAAAUUAAGAAAGCAACUUCAUCAAUUUGACGACACAUGAAGUUAUUGAAGUCUGCUACUCGUCAGUGUUGAUGGAACUUCACAAACCAUUGAGCUUUUGCGUUGAGCUCUCAGCUACCGUAUAUUUCCCUCAAAACACAGAACAAGGAAACUGGCUCAGUUUUCCAAUCUUUGAGAAAAGAGUUAAUCCUGGUCCAUGCUACUGCAAGAGGCGACACGUUACAAGCUAUACACACACACACACACACACACACACACACACACACACACACACAAUGCAGCCGGAGUUUAUGGCGAGGGCGCAAAUUUGUGAAUAAAAACUUCCGUCCAAUAA
Hippoglossus stenolepis (Pacific halibut) is the source of this 4682-nucleotide RNA transcript. It is a transcript of the gene named prominin 1 b, with no coding region annotated. The transcript is spliced from 29 exons. The record is from RefSeq and is a predicted model, not a curated record. Lineage: Eukaryota; Metazoa; Chordata; Actinopteri; Pleuronectiformes; Pleuronectidae.